Molecule: ribosomal RNA, 480 nt
Filed under: uncultured bacterium
Lineage: Bacteria
Description: partial 16S ribosomal RNA
Rfam family: Bacterial small subunit ribosomal RNA
Source: RNAcentral
GACGAACGCUGGCGGCGUGCUUAACACAUGCAAGUCGAGCGAUUACACCUUAACAGUGCCCUGCUGGGCGAAGAGACAGUGGAUUGGCGGCGGACGGGGGAGUAACACGUGCGUAAGGUGCUAUAGUUCGUGGGAUAGCCUCGGAAAACCAGGGGUAUUACCAACGAAAAUCUUAAUGACACAUGUCGGCACACGCAAAAGUUCGUUGGUCUAAGCGGGACUCGUGUCCCAUUUGAUAGUUGGUAGGGUAAAAGCCUACCAAGGCGACGAUGGGUAGCCGGGGAGAGAGGCUGAACCGACACAUUGGAACUGAGAAACAGUCCAAAAUCCUACGGGAGGGAGGAGUGGGGAAUAUUGCACAAUGGAGGGAAUUCUGAUGCAGCGACGCCGCGUGAACGAAGAAGGCUUUCGAGAAGUAAAGUUCUUUUAUAUGGGAAGAUAAUGACGGUACCAAAAGAAAAAGCCCCGGCUAACUACGUG